This 1133-nucleotide ribosomal RNA is filed under the name fungal endophyte. RNAcentral describes it as "eukaryotic LSU rRNA". The stretch from base 533 to 1133 matches the Rfam family "Eukaryotic large subunit ribosomal RNA", at positions 1 to 611 of the family's 3401-position model. Lineage: Eukaryota; Fungi. The record is from RNAcentral.
GAACAGCGGAGGGAUCAUUAGAGAGUUCUCAUAAAACUCCCAAACCCAUGUGAACAUACCUUCUGUUGCCUCGGCAGGCCGCGCCGGCGCCUAACCGCGUAGCACCCUACCCCGUAGGGCCUACCCGGGACGCGCCGGCGGUCCCUGCCGGCGGCCCACGAAACUCUGUUUAGCAUAUUGAAUUCUGAACGUAUAACUAAAUCAGUUAAAACUUUCAACAACGGAUCUCUUGGUUCUGGCAUCGAUGAAGAACGCAGCGAAAUGCGAUAAGUAAUGUGAAUUGCAGAAUUCAGUGAAUCAUCGAAUCUUUGAACGCACAUUGCGCCCAUUAGUAUUCUAGUGGGCAUGCCUGUUCGAGCGUCAUUUCAACCCUCAAGCCCCCGUUGCUUGGUGUUGGGAGCCUACGGGGUCACCCGUAGCUCCUCAAAGUUAGUGGCGGAGUCGGUUCACACUCCAGACGUAGUAGAUCUUCACCUCGCCUGUAGUGCCGGACCGGUCCCCUGCCGUAAAACACCCCUAUUUCUAAAAAGGUUGACCUCGGAUCAGGUAGGAAUACCCGCUGAACUUAAGCAUAUCAAUAAGCGGAGGAAAAGAAACCAACAGGGAUUGCCCUAGUAACGGCGAGUGAAGCGGCAACAGCUCAAAUUUGAAAUCUGGCCCUCGGGUCCGAGUUGUAAUUUGUAGAGGAUGCUUUUGGCGCGGUGCCUUCCGAGUUCCCUGGAACGGGACGCCUUAGAGGGUGAGAGCCCCGUACGGUUGGACACCAAGCCUCUGUAAAGCUCCUUCGACGAGUCGAGUAGUUUGGGAAUGCUGCUCUAAAUGGGAGGUAAAUUUCUUCUAAAGCUAAAUAUUGGCCAGAGACCGAUAGCGCACAAGUAGAGUGAUCGAAAGAUGAAAAGCACUUUGAAAAGAGGGUUAAAUAGCACGUGAAAUUGUUGAAAGGGAAGCGUUUGCGACCAGACCUUUUCCUGGCGGAUCAUCCGGUGUUCUUCACCGGUGCACUUCGCCAGGUCGAGGCCAGCAUCGGUUUCUACGGGGGGAUAAAGGCUCUGGGAACGUAGCUCCUUCGGGAGUGUUAUAGCCCUCUGCAUAAUACCCUCGCGGGGACCGAGGACCGCGCCUCCGGGCAAGGA